Peromyscus maniculatus bairdii (prairie deer mouse) is the source of this 189-nucleotide small nuclear RNA. Its record names the gene U2. It matches the Rfam family "U2 spliceosomal RNA". From Rfam's summary of the family: U2 is a small nuclear RNA (snRNA) component of the spliceosome (involved in pre-mRNA splicing). Complementary binding between U2 snRNA (in an area lying towards the 5' end but 3' to hairpin I) and the branchpoint sequence (BPS) of the intron results the bulging out of an unpaired adenosine, on the BPS, which initiates a nucleophilic attack at the intronic 5' splice site, thus starting the first of two transesterification reactions that mediate splicing. The record is from Ensembl. Lineage: Eukaryota; Metazoa; Chordata; Mammalia; Rodentia; Cricetidae.
AUUAAUUCCUGACCAUUUGGCUAAGAUCAAAUGUGUAUGUAUUUUUAUCAGCUUAAUAUAAGAUACAUCUUCUAUCUGAGGACAACAUAUUAAAUAGAUUUGGGAUCUGAAAGAUGGGAUUGGAGCUUGCGCCACCAAUUCCAUGCGUGGACCAUGUGUCACAGCAUCUCCAUAAACGGUAUACCCCUA